UGGAGGAGGACAAAGCAAGAAUCUCCGAUCAACUUUUAGAUGGUCGUAGUCAAACAGAGUUUUCUGAUGCAUUUAAAAGUGAGGAAGCGAGGGAAGAUGUGCAUGUGGUGUCUUCGGCAAAAGAUUUACCUGCAUCAGACAACCCUGAACUCUUGCUUAAAGACUUCAAAGACUACAAUAAGUUCAAAUCUACUUUGCCAUUGGAUCUUGGCUCUUCUGAACCUGAACCUCUUUCUACUGAUGGCGACUCUUCAAAGAAUUCGCUUCCUUCAGGUUCACCAACCGACCACUCAGAUAUGGACACCAUUAUUUCAUCUGUUCAGGAAGAAGCCAAGCAAGCAAUAAAAGUUGAUGAUCCUGUAAUUGAAAGGACAGAAACAACUUUUAGUAGGUUCCCCAACCGACCACUCAAACGGAGUUUAUGGUGGUAGUCAAACGGAGUUUUCGGAUGCAUCUAAAACUGAGGAAGCGAGGGAAGAUGUGCAUGUGGUGUCAUUGGCAAAAGAUUUACCUGCAUCAGACAACCCUGAACUCUUGCUUAAAGACUUCAAAGACUACAAUAAGUCCAAAUCUACUUUGCCAUUGGAUCUUGGCUCUUCUGAACCUGAACCUCUUUCUACUGAUGGCGACCCUUCAAAGAAUUCGCUUCCUUCAGGUUCCCCAACCGACCACUCAAACGGAGUUUAUGGUGGUAGUCAAACGGAGUUUUCUGAUGCAUCUAAAACUGAGGAACCGAGGGAAGAUGUGCAUGUGGUGUCGUUGGCAAAAGAUUUACCUGCAUCAGACAACCCUGAACUCUUGCUUAAAGACUUCAAAGACUACAAUAAGCUCAAAUCUACUUUGCCAUUGGAUCUUGGCUCUUCUGAACCUGAACCUCUUUCUACUGAUGGCGACCCUUCAAAGAAUUCGCUUCCUUCAGGUUCCCCAACCGACCACUCAGAUAUGGACACCAUUAUUUCAUCUGUUCAGGAAGAAGCCAAGCAAGCAAUAAAAGUUGAUGAUCCUGUAAUUGAAUAAACGGAGUUUAUGGUGGUAGGCAAACGGAGUUUUCUGAAUCAUCUAAAACUGAGGAACCGAGGGAAGAUGUGCAUGUGGUGUCGUUGGCAAAAGAUUUACCUGCAUCAGACAACCCUGAACUCUUGCUUAAAGACUUCAAAGACUACAAUAAGCUCAAAUCUACUUUGCCAUUGGAUCUUGGCUCUUCUGAACCUGAACCUCUUUCUACUGAUGGCGACCCUUCAAAGAAUUCGCUUCCUUCAGGUUCCCCAACCGACCACUCA
RNAcentral lists this long non-coding RNA (1280 nucleotides) under Nicotiana benthamiana. RNAcentral describes it as "long non-coding RNA (NBEN_LNC026932)". Lineage: Eukaryota; Viridiplantae; Streptophyta; Magnoliopsida; Solanales; Solanaceae. The record is from RNAcentral.